Molecule: ribosomal RNA, 492 nt
Filed under: uncultured bacterium
Lineage: Bacteria
Description: bacterial SSU rRNA
Rfam family: Bacterial small subunit ribosomal RNA
Source: RNAcentral
GAUGAACGCUAGCGGGAGGCUUAAUACAUGCAAGUCGAGCGGCAAGUUUUGAUAGCAAUAUUGGAACCUAGAGCGGCGCACGGGUGAGUAACGCGUACAUGACCUGCCCUAUACUGGGGGAUAGUCUUGGGAAACUGAGAAUAAUCCCGCAUGUGAUUAGAAUGCUGCAUGGCAAAUUAAUUAAAGCUGAGGCGGUAUAGGAUGGGUGUGCGUCUGAUUAGCUAGUUGGUAGUGUAACGGACUACCAAGGCGAUGAUCAGUAGGGGCGUGAGAGCGUGACCCCCCAACGGGUACUGAGACACGGACCCGACUCCUACGGGAGGCAGCAGUAAGGAAUAUUGGUCAAUGGAGGGAACUCUGAACCAGCCAUCCCGCGUGAAGGAUGAAGGGGCUCUGCCUUGUAAACUUCUUUUGCAUGGGACGAAAAACUUAUUUAUUAAGGACUGACGGUACCAUGAGAAUAAGCACCGGCUAACUCCGUGCCAGCAGCCG